This 497-nucleotide ribosomal RNA is filed under the name uncultured bacterium. RNAcentral describes it as "partial 16S ribosomal RNA". It matches the Rfam family "Bacterial small subunit ribosomal RNA", at positions 28 to 506 of the family's 1533-position model. The record is from RNAcentral.
GAUGAACGCUGGCGGCGUGCCUAAUACAUGCAAGUCGAGCGAACAGACGAGGAGCUUGCUCCUCUGACGUUAGCGGCGGACGGGUGAGUAACACGUGGAUAACCUACCUAUAAGACUGGGAUAACUUCGGGAAACCGGAGCUAAUACCGGAUAAUAUAUUGAACCGCAUGGUUCAAUAGUGAAAGACGGUUUUGCUGUCACUUAUAGAUGGAUCCGCGCCGCAUUAGCUAGUUGGUAAGGUAACGGCUUACCAAGGCAACGAUGCGUAGCCGACCUGAGAGGGGGGUACGGCCCACAGGGAAAGAGAGACGGGGCCGAGUCCCCAGGGGGGGAGAAGUGGGGGAAAUUUGCCGAUGGGGGCAAAGCCGAGACAGACAAACCCCGGGGGGGAAGGAAGGUUUUGGGGUUGAAAAACCUUUUUUUUGGGGAAAAAAAAAGUGUGUAAAUACCUAGCCGCUUUUAAGGGGCCCCAAAAAAAAAACCCGGGGAAACUAGGG